This is a long non-coding RNA of Sapajus apella (tufted capuchin), 950 nucleotides long. RefSeq lists it as uncharacterized. NCBI's taxonomy places the organism in Eukaryota, Metazoa, Chordata, Mammalia, Primates, Cebidae. The transcript has 3 exons. The record is from RefSeq and is a predicted model, not a curated record.
AGGACCUGGGGGAGAGGUAACAGCCUCUGAGGAGCCUGCUAAGUGUCCGCCUGGGUUAUCCAAGACGGCUUGUGCUUUUUCAGUGGGUCCCUGGGCGGUGACCUUUUUCUUUCUGGAAACCAGGCAGAGGAACUGGGCCCAGAUCAAAGAGUUAAAGCACCUCCCCAUGGGUGGUUAAUAAUAAUACCAACAACUUCUAUUUUGUGCUUACUACCCUGGCCGCUUACUAGCUGUGUAACGUUGGCAGAUGAUUUCGCUUCUCUGGACAAGUUUUCUUGUCCAUAAAAUGCAGGGAGCUCAGAUGUCAUAUUUGCAGCUUAUCUCCAUAGCAACUAUACAGAAUGACCAAGACAGGCCUACUGGAGAAGGAGAGACCACAUGGAGCAGAGAUGAGUCAGCUGGGGUCUUUCAAUCCCUCCAGCCCCCAGCCCCCAGCCAACCCACCAGCCAAUCAAAGGCAUAUUCUUGAGCCCAGUGAGAUCAGAAGAACCACCCAGCUGAGCCCAGCCCAACUGCCGAUCCACAGGAUCAGGAACUAAGUAAGCACUUGUUUUAAAGAUGCUAAGUUUAGGGAUAUUUUUUAUGCAGAAGUUAAUUGAUACACAUUAGCUGAUUCUCAUUCCAAUAGCAGCAACAAUAACUGAUAUUCAUUAUGUUCCAUGCACUGUUCUAAGAGUCCUUAGAACAAUCCUUUCUGGUAAGAAUUGCUAUUUUUUUGUAUUGCAGAUGGGAAAACUGAGGCUCAGAGAGGUUAACUGACUUUUCCAAUUCCACCAGCUAGAAAUGAGCAAAAACGAGUAUUCAAACCUACAUCUGUCUGACUUCUCUCCUCCAUUGGUCAAAGGACAUCUGCAGUUAACUAAUUCCCUUAAGAGAAAAGUGCUGCAGAGCAAAGGUCAAAACCACACUCACCUCUUUUCAGAAGAAAUGGAUCGGCUUCGGGUGUACCU